Molecule: long non-coding RNA, 1374 nt
Organism: Carya illinoinensis
Lineage: Eukaryota; Viridiplantae; Streptophyta; Magnoliopsida; Fagales; Juglandaceae
Exons: 2
Source: RefSeq, a predicted model, not a curated record
AAUUCUUUCCAUUUAUUUUAUAAUCAAUCUUUAUGUGUAAUCACGCCGUUAUACAAUUUGUAAAUGAUUAUAUAUAUGAAAGACUCUAACCACUAAAAUGUGUGGUGGUUUUCAAACAUUCUCAUGAUAUCAGAAGCAUACCUGGAUUAGCACCCACGAUCCCCAAUGGCCCCUAAUUCUUCUCCCACCCUCCUUCCCUUCAACACCAUGAUUCACAUGGUUACCAUCAAACUCUCCUCCUCCAACUACCUUUUUAUGGAAUAGCCAACUUCUUCCCCUUCUCGAGAGCCAAGGUCUGCUGGGUCAUGUGGACGGUACUCUUGUGCCGCCACCUCCUUUUGAUCCUCCCACCUCUCAGACACCAAAUACCAAACACCUAGCAUGGAAAGCCACUGAUCAGCACCUACUGAGUCUUCUUCUCUCCUAUCUCACAGAGGAAGCCAUGGCUGAAGCCGUUGGCCUCUCCACAUCCCAAGAGGUCUGAACUGCUCUCGAAAACACCUUCAGCCACCGCUCUAAAGCCCAAGAAAUAUGCCUCAAAAAUGACCUCCAACUGAUGAAGCGUGGCACCCGUCCAGUCACUGCCUACGCCCAUGCUUUCAAAGCCUUAUGCGAUCAGCUUCAUGCCAUCGGUCGCCCUGUUGAUGGAACCGACAAAGUCCAUUGGUUUCUCCUUGGCCUAGGACCUGAUUUCUCCAUUUUUUCUACUGCCCAAAUGGCAUAGACCCCUCUCCCCUACUUCCCAGAUCUUGUGUCCAAAGCUGAGAGCUUUGAACUUUUUCAAAAGUCUCUUGAGAGUCCGACGCCUUUAGCUGUAGCGUUCAUCGCUAGCCAUGGCUCCUCUCAACGUGGGGGUGGCUCUUCUCGUUCCAGACGUGGCCGCAGGAAUGGCUCCAACCACGAGUCCUUCAGUCAUAGACAGGGUCGUGCCCAACCCACUCAAGGUCGCCGACCACCACAGUGCCAAAUUUGACGCUUGGACGGCCACUAUGCUGAUUGGUGCAAGCAACGCUAUGAUCGGCCCCAACAUGAUCCCUCGGCGCACCUUGCAGAAGCUUUCAACACUUGCUGCUCUGUGUCUGGCAAUGAAGCCCCCGAUUGGUUCUUGGACACAGGGGCUUCGGCCCAUAUGACUCCAGCCCACUCCACUUUGGACCAGUCCACUACUUACACAGAAUCGCCAAACGGGAAGGGUGGUGGCAACCGGUAAAAGAGAUGGAGGCUUAUAUGUGCUAGAGCGCGGAAAUUCCACCUUUAUUUCUAUCCUUAAAAAUAAAUCUCUUCAUGCUUCAUAUGAUUUAUGGAAUUCUCACCUUGGACAUGUGAAUCAUUCUGUUAUCUCUUUUUUAAAUAAAAAAGGACAGCUUUAUCUUA